UUAGCAUAUCAAUAAGCAGAGAAAAGAAACUAACAAGGAUUCCCCUAGUAACGGCGAGCGAAGUGGGAAGAGCUCGAGCCUAAAAUCUCUGGCAGUUGAUGCCAGCGAAUUGUGGCUGGGAGAGGCAGCUGGACCCUGGCCGGUGCUGUCGAAGUUGACCUGGAAAGGCACGUCAGAGAGGGUGACAGCCCCGUGCACGACACCGCUGGACAGGGUCGCUACUGUCUUCAGAGAGUCGGGUUGUUUGGGAAUGCAGCCCAAAGUGGGUGGUAAACUCCAUCUAAAGCUAAAUACAGGCAUGAGACCGAUAGCGAACAAGUACCGUGAGGGAAAGGUGAAAAGUACUUUGAAAAGAGAGUCAAAAAGACCGCGAAACCGUUAGGAGGGAAACGAAUGCAGCCAAAGUGGCUCUCAUUCAGGCUCAGGAGUUGUUGGCCUGCAGUGCCGGGCUGUCAGACGCCGAAGGGUGCUGCAGCCAGGAUACAGCGGCCGACUGCUCUGCAUUCCUGAUGGGAGUCGGCCAACAGCAGUUAUCCCUGACUCGGGAGGGUCGUUGGGAAGGUAGCUUCUUGGUUUUACCAGGAGGAACUUAUAGCCAUCGGCCUGGCAGUUGGGGGUGACCGAGGAGUGCUGUGACUUUUCACACCAGCAGUGCAGGCUCCCUAGGGGCCGGGUCGCUUCUGUCCGUGUGGGCAAUGCUUCUGGGACUGCGUGCAGUGUCGGAGGACAUGUGUGUGCUCGGAUGGGAGGUCGGNCCACGCCAUGCACUGAAGUUGUUGGUACCUGGAUGGUUUCAUUCGACCCGUCUU
RNAcentral lists this ribosomal RNA (809 nucleotides) under Prosuberites longispinus. Its description in RNAcentral is "eukaryotic LSU rRNA". It matches the Rfam family "Eukaryotic large subunit ribosomal RNA", at positions 35 to 655 of the family's 3401-position model. Lineage: Eukaryota; Metazoa; Porifera; Demospongiae; Agelasida; Hymerhabdiidae. The record is from RNAcentral.